GGCUGCGAAGGUGCAGCGGGCGGGAGGCCUGUUGGGGGCUCAGCCGGCAGCCAGAAGCUCUCGGGCUCUUUCCUUCCGUGCCCCUCACUUCCUCAUGGAUCCAUGCCCAGCCCUGAUUCGUUGGACAGAGCCUUGUGAGCGGGAUUUUCCGUUUGGGGAUUUCUAAAUCUGCUGCCCACCCCGCAACUGCCGGAAAGUUGCCCAUGGGGUGGACUUCGCCGUGUAGCGGGAGAGGGGUGGGAGUCGAGGGUGCUUGAUGGAAAGAUCGGGGAAGGGGUUGCACGGAUUGGAGGAGCGAGGAGACUCAGUCCCCAUCCCGAAGCACAGGGCAGGACGUCGCGGCGGAGUGGGGAAGCGAGGAGGCCGUGGCCGGGAGCUUGGACGCUGAGUUUGAGAAAGCUGCAGAGGAGGUUAGGCACCUUAAGACUAAGCCAGCAGAUGAUGAGAUGCUGUUCAUCUAUAGCCACUACAAACAAGCAACUGUGGGCGACAUAAAUACAGAACGGCCCGGGAUGUUGGACUUCACGGGCAAGGCCAAGUGGGAUGCCUGGAAUGAGCUGAAAGGGACUUCCAAGGAAGAUGCCAUGAAAGCUUACAUCAACAAAGUAGAAGAGCUAAAGAAAAAAUACGGGAUAUGAGAGACUGGAUUUGAUUACUGUGCCUUGUGUUUAUCCUAAACUGAGACAAUGCCUUGUUUUUUUCUAAUACUGUGGAUGGUGGGAAUUCGGGAAAAUAACCAGUUAACCCAGCUGCUCAAGGCUGCUCACCAUACGG
Molecule: small RNA, 774 nt
Filed under: Pongo abelii (Sumatran orangutan)
Lineage: Eukaryota; Metazoa; Chordata; Mammalia; Primates; Hominidae
Description: processed transcript
Source: RNAcentral